CGACAGUGGACUUCUGCAUUCACCCACCGGGCCGCCCCAAAGGCCCUCUGGGCCUCACUGACAGUUGGCCUCCUAUAGCAGCCAACCAUUCCCCGAGUCUCUCCUGGACUUCUUCCGAUCGCAGACGACCCUACUCCGAACUUCUUCCAGGCUUCGUCAGCAUCCGAGCUUCUUCGACAAUGAGAUUUCUACAGUAAUCAGAUCCCAUCCGAGUUUCUACGGUGGUCAACCGCCUUCAGGAUUCAAGCCGAGCUCCUGCGAUAGCCGAACUCCCGCUACGAGCAGUCUACUCCGAACCCCUACAGUAGGCGGACUUCAACCGAGCUUCUAUA
RNAcentral lists this long non-coding RNA (332 nucleotides) under Elaeis guineensis (African oil palm). RNAcentral's name for it is "long non-coding RNA (EGUI_LNC064471)". The record is from RNAcentral. Lineage: Eukaryota; Viridiplantae; Streptophyta; Magnoliopsida; Arecales; Arecaceae.